RNAcentral lists this ribosomal RNA (494 nucleotides) under uncultured bacterium. RNAcentral describes it as "partial 16S ribosomal RNA". It matches the Rfam family "Bacterial small subunit ribosomal RNA", at positions 28 to 523 of the family's 1533-position model. The record is from RNAcentral.
GAUGAACGCUGGCGGCGUGCUUAACACAUGCAAGUCGAACGGAAAACCUUUUAUUGAAGCUUCGGCAGAUUUAGCUGGUUUCUAGUGGCGGACGGGUGUGUAACGCGUGGGUAACCUGCCUUGUACAGGGGGAUAACAGUCAGAAAUGACUGCUAAUACCGCAUAAGCGCACGGAGCUGCAUGGCUCAGUGUGAAAAACUCCGGUGGUAUAAGAUGGACCCGCGUUGGAUUAGCUAGUUGGUGAGGUAACGGCCCACCAAGGCGACGAUCCAUAGCCGGCCUGAGAGGGUGAACGGCCACAUUGGGACUGAGACACGGCCCAGACUCCUACGGGAGGCAGCAGUGGGGAAUAUUGCACAAUGGGGGAAACCCUGAUGCAGCGACGCCGCGUGAAGGAAGAAGUAUCUCGGUAUGUAAACUUCUAUCAGCAGGGAAGAAAAUGACGGUACCUGACUAAGAAGCCCCGGCUAACUACGUGCCAGCCGCCGCCGUAA